Molecule: ribosomal RNA, 475 nt
Filed under: uncultured bacterium
Lineage: Bacteria
Description: SSU rRNA
Rfam family: Bacterial small subunit ribosomal RNA
Source: RNAcentral
AGAGUGAACGCUGGCGGCAUGCCUAACACAUGCAAGUCGAACGGUAACAGGCCCGCAAGGGUGCUGACGAGUGGCGGACGGGUGAGGAGUACAUCGGAAUCUGCCCGGUUGUGGGGGAUAAACGUAGGGAAACUUACGCUAAUACCGCAUACGACCUACGGGUGAAAGCGGGGGACCUUCGGGCCUCGCGCAGUCGGAUGAGCCGAUGUCGGAUUAGCUAGUUGGCGGGGUAAAGGCCCACCAAGGCGACGAUCCGUAGCUGGUCUGAGAGGAUGAUCAGCCACACUGGGACUGAGACACGGCCCAGACUCCUACGGGAGGCAGCAGUGGGGAAUUUUCCGCAAUGGGCGAAAGCCUGACGGAGCAAGACCGCGUGGGGGAAGAAGGCUCUUGGGUUGUAAACCCCUUUCUCUGGGAAGAACGCAAUGACGGUACCAGAGGAAUCAGCAUCGGCUAACUCCGUGCCAGCAGCCGC